GACGAACGCUGGCGGCGUGCCUAAUACAUGCAAGUAGAACGCUGAAGAGAGGAGCUUGCUCUUCUUGGAUGAGUUGCGAACGGGUGAGUAACGCGUAGGUAACCUGCCUUGUAGCGGGGGAUAACUAUUGGAAACGAUAGCUAAUACCGCAUAACAAUGGAUGACACAUGUCCUUUAUUUGAAAGGGGCAAUUGCUCCACUACAAGAUGGACCUGCGUUGUAUUAGCUAGUAGGUGAGGUAAUGGCUCACCUAGGCGACGAUACAUAGCCGACCUGAGAGGGUGAUCGGCCACACUGGGACUGAGACACGGCCCAGACUCCUACGGGAGGCAGCAGUAGGGAAUCUUCGGCAAUGGGGGCAACCCUGACCGAGCAACGCCGCGUGAGUGAAGAAGGGUGUCGGAUCGGAAAGCUCGGUUGUAAGUCAAGAACGGGUGUGAGAGUGGAAAGUUCACACUGUGACGGUAGCUGACCAGAAAGGGACGGCUAACUACGUG
Molecule: ribosomal RNA, 497 nt
Filed under: uncultured bacterium
Lineage: Bacteria
Description: partial 16S ribosomal RNA
Rfam family: Bacterial small subunit ribosomal RNA
Source: RNAcentral